This 476-nucleotide ribosomal RNA is filed under the name uncultured archaeon. RNAcentral describes it as "bacterial SSU rRNA". It matches the Rfam family "Archaeal small subunit ribosomal RNA", at positions 396 to 872 of the family's 1478-position model. The record is from RNAcentral.
UAAGACCGGUUCUUUUCUUGACUCUUAAUAGGUCUUGGAAUAAGGGGUGGGUAAGGACGGUGCCAGCCGCCGCGGUAAUACCGGCGCCUCAAGUGGUAGUCGCUUUUAUUGGGCCUAAAACGUCCGUAGCCGGUCUGAUACAUUCGUGGGUAAAUCAACCAGCUCAACUGGUUGAAUUCUGCGAGGACGGCCAGACUUGGGACCGGGAGAGGUGUGGGGUACGCUCAGGGUAGGGGUAAAAUCCUGUCAUCCUGAGCGGACCACCUGUUGCGAAGGCGCCACACUAGAACGGAUCCGACGGUCAGGGACGAAGCCUAGGGGCACGAACCGGAUUAGAUACCCGGGUAGUCCUAGGUGUAAACGCUGUGGACUUGAUGUUGGGGGUGCUCCGAGCACUCUCAGUGUCGAAGCGAAGGUGAUAAGUCCACUGCCUGGGAAGUACGGUCGCAAGGCUGAAACUUAAAGGAAUUGGCGGG